GAUGAACGCUGGCGGCGUGCCUAAUACAUGCAAGUCGAGCGAACAGACGAGGAGCUUGCUCCUCUGACGUUAGCGGCGGACGGGUGAGUAACACGUGGAUAACCUACCUAUAAGACUGGGAUAACUUCGGGAAACCGGAGCUAAUACCGGAUAAUAUAUUGAACCGCAUGGUUCAAUAGUGAAAGACGGUUUUGCUGUCACUUAUAGAUGGAUCCGCGCCGCAUUAGCUAGUUGGUAAGGUAACGGCUUACCAAGGCAACGAUGCGUAGCCGACCUGAGGGUGAUCGGCCACACUGGAACUGAGACACGGUCCAGACUCCUACGGGAGGCAGCAGUAGGGAAUCUUCCGCAAUGGGCGAAAGCUUGACGGAGUAACGCCGCGUGAGUGAUGAAGGUCUUCGGAUCGUAAAACUCUGUUAUUAGGGAAGAACAAUUGUGUAAGUAACUAUGCACGUCUUGACGGUACCUAAUCAGAAAGCCACGGCUAACUACGUG
This 495-nucleotide ribosomal RNA is filed under the name uncultured bacterium. RNAcentral describes it as "partial 16S ribosomal RNA". It matches the Rfam family "Bacterial small subunit ribosomal RNA", at positions 28 to 507 of the family's 1533-position model. The record is from RNAcentral.